UAUACCAGUAAUUAUCUGGUUCAACAGAUCCAAACUUCCUCAUAAUCAGAGUAUCUUGUACCUCUGCAAGCUUCAUAGGCGUGAUCCUGAAAUCCUCUACAAGGUGAAGACUCAACUUAUCUUGUUUAUGCCAUUUACCCCAAUCAUCCCAAAAUUGAGCUUGAUCCAACACUGAUGCUGCAUCCUUCAAAUGCUCAAAAUCAAAAUAAAACCUGAAAUCCUUCCCUUCCUCAUCCUGAUUUGAAGAAGUAUACAUUGAAUUCAAACAGAUAGUCAAAUCCAUAACCAAUGUUCGAUUUAGAUACUGCGCUUCACCUAAUGCACACAAGAAACUCCACAAAUAAUGAUUCAUACUCUUGCAUCUAUCACCACCACCACUGUAAACCAAAUACUUGCCAUGGCUAAAUGAGUUUUCAGACUCAACCAUAGGAAGCGAAUCAUUCACAGUUUCC
Molecule: long non-coding RNA, 452 nt
Filed under: Jatropha curcas
Lineage: Eukaryota; Viridiplantae; Streptophyta; Magnoliopsida; Malpighiales; Euphorbiaceae
Description: long non-coding RNA (JCUR_LNC003167)
Source: RNAcentral